This 693-nucleotide long non-coding RNA is filed under the name Astyanax mexicanus (Mexican tetra). RNAcentral's name for it is "lncRNA (ENSAMXG00005010030.1)". Lineage: Eukaryota; Metazoa; Chordata; Actinopteri; Characiformes; Acestrorhamphidae. The record is from RNAcentral.
GGACGCCCAAUUUGACUUCACUGUUGUGAGUAGACAUAGAUGACAAGAUGUGUGUGUGUUGCUUAUAAAAAAAAAUAUUAAUGCAAGUUAUUAUGUUUAGCAUGACAUGUUGAUGCUACGCAAGUGGUGGUGCGUAAUGUUAAUGGAGACAUUUGAGGUAGAAGGCUACGGGAAGAGAUUUGCCCACUGGACGGACAAUGCAAAAGCCCUUCUGAAUGGACAGUUACAACCCAUCUUCCGUGUUGGAGAACAUGUGUACAGCCAGGAACUUCCACCACCAGUACAGAGGGAACAAGAAAGAAAAUAUACACACCACCACUGUCUUGCGCAAGACAUUAACGCCUGUGUUUACCAAAGGAUACGAAACAAGUAAUAAAACAAUCAUUUGCAUAAACAAUGUACCAGUUUAGGGGUUACAUAUAUGGAUUUAAAAUGUGGUGUUUUUGUAUUUAUAUAGAUUAAUGUAUCCAGAAGUGCAGCCCGUCAAGUGGGUCCAGUGUCAGUUCUGUGGCGGUCAGUUGCACAGUGACUGUGCAGGAGUGGAAACAUUGAAAGAAGACACAUUUAGCUGUGGAUGUCACCAACCAGUGCCUUAUCCAUAUAAAAUGUUUAUUUUAUACACACAUUAAACCCAUUUUCUUUGGUUGUAUUAGACUUGCAUUAAACGCAUAAAUAAAUAUGUUUCUGUCUCCA